GACGAACGCUGGCGGCGUGCUUAACACAUGCAAGUCGAGCGGUAAGGCCCUUUCGGGGGUACACGAGCGGCGAACGGGUGAGUAACACGUGGGUGACCUGCCCUCAGCUCUGGGAUAAGCCUGGGAAACCGGGUCUAAUACUGGAUAUGACUCCAUGACGCAUGUUGUGGGGUGGAAAGCCUUGUGCGGCUGAGGAUGGGCCCGCGGCCUAUCAGCUUGUUGGUGGGGUGANGGCCUACCAAGGCGACGACGGGUAGCCGGCCUGAGAGGGCGACCGGCCACACUGGGACUGAGACACGGCCCAGACUCCUACGGGAGGCAGCAGUGGGGAAUCUUGCGCAAUGGGCGAGAGCCUGACGCAGCGACGCCGCGUGAGGGAUGACGGCCU
This 388-nucleotide ribosomal RNA is filed under the name uncultured bacterium. Its description in RNAcentral is "bacterial SSU rRNA". It matches the Rfam family "Bacterial small subunit ribosomal RNA", at positions 28 to 417 of the family's 1533-position model. The record is from RNAcentral.